UGCAAAUUAAACACUGCCUUGUUGCUAAC
Molecule: small RNA, 29 nt
Filed under: Bombyx mori (domestic silkworm)
Lineage: Eukaryota; Metazoa; Arthropoda; Insecta; Lepidoptera; Bombycidae
Description: ovarian small RNA-8452
Source: RNAcentral